Molecule: transfer RNA, 73 nt
Filed under: Acidobacteriota bacterium
Lineage: Bacteria; Pseudomonadati; Acidobacteriota
Also listed under: 2 other names
Description: Acidobacteria bacterium (hot springs metagenome) tRNA-Met
Rfam family: tRNA
About the family: Transfer RNA (tRNA) molecules are approximately 80 nucleotides in length. Their secondary structure includes four short double-helical elements and three loops (D, anti-codon, and T loops). Further hydrogen bonds mediate the characteristic L-shaped molecular structure. tRNAs have two regions of fundamental functional importance: the anti-codon, which is responsible for specific mRNA codon recognition, and the 3' end, to which the tRNAs corresponding amino acid is attached (by aminoacyl-tRNA synthetases). tRNAs cope with the degeneracy of the genetic code in two manners: having more than one tRNA (with a specific anti-codon) for a particular amino acid; and 'wobble' base-pairing, i.e. permitting non-standard base-pairing at the 3rd anti-codon position.
Source: RNAcentral
GGCGGUGUAGCUCAAGUGGCAGAGCACGCGGCUCAUAUCCGCUAGGUUAGGGGUUCGAGUCCCUUCACCGCCA